RNAcentral lists this long non-coding RNA (369 nucleotides) under Felis catus (domestic cat). RNAcentral's name for it is "lncRNA (ENSFCAG00000041225.2)". The record is from RNAcentral. Lineage: Eukaryota; Metazoa; Chordata; Mammalia; Carnivora; Felidae.
GAGGCCAAGAGCAUGCUCUGUGAAUUUCUGCUCCUGGAAUCAUCAGCUUUUCCAAGUGCAGUGAGCCCGGGAGGACCGAGAGUCACUGAAGUUACAGAGAACGUGUCCUCUCAUGCCUGGAUGAAGGAUAAAGGAUCUGAAUAAUGAUACCAGUGCCACCUAAUUGCUCUUUGGAAUUUUGAAGGACCUACUUGUUUUCUGUAAGAAUGGUGAACGUAGCUCUGGAACAGAAGCAGUGGGGCCUGGCAUCCUUCUCGUGAUACCUGGAGAUACAAGAACACGUGUGAUAUAAGUAAGGACACCAACCACUAUCAGUAACUGUCCCUCUAUCCUUCUCUCACUUACCCCUUAAGGACGUUGUGCGGGACG